Molecule: ribosomal RNA, 549 nt
Filed under: uncultured Glomeromycotina
Lineage: Eukaryota; Fungi; Glomeromycota
Description: SSU rRNA
Rfam family: Eukaryotic small subunit ribosomal RNA
Source: RNAcentral
UUGGAGGGCAAGUCUGGUGCCAGCAGCCGCGGUAACUCCAGCUCCAAUAGCGUAUAUUAAAGUUGUUGCAGUUAAAAAGCUCGUAGUUGAAUUUCGGGGUCAGUAGGUCGGUCGUGCCACUGGUAUGAACUGGUUUUACUGAUUCCUCCCUCUUGAAGAACUGUAAUGCCAUUAAUUUGGUGUUGCAGGGAAUCAGGACUGUUACUUCGAAAAAAUUAGAGUGUUUAAAGCAGGCUUUAGCUUGAAUACAUUAGCAUGGAAUAAUGAAAUAGGACGUUUGAUCCUAUUUUGUUGGUUUCUAGGAUUGACGUAAUGGUUAAUAGGGAUAGUUGGGGGCAUUAGUAUUCAAUUGUCAGAGGUGAAAUUCUUGGAUUUAUUGAAGACUAACUACUGCGAAAGCAUUUGCCAAGGAUGUUUUCAUUAAUCAAGAACGAAAGUUAGGGGAUCGAAGACGAUCAGAUACCGUCGUAGUCUUAACCAUAAACUAUGCCGACUAGGGAUCGGAUGAUGUUAAUUUUUUAAUGACUCAUUCGGCGCCUUACGGGAAAC